AUUGAACGCUGGCGGCAGGCCUCACACAUGCAAGUCGAACGAGUGGCGGACGGGUGAGUAAUGUCUGGGAACCUGACUGAUGGAGGGGGAUAACUACUGGAAACGGUAGCUAAUAGCGCCUACCAUCGGAUGUGCCCAGAUAGGAUUAGCUAGUAGGUGGGGUAAAGGCUCACCUAGGCGACGAUCACUAGCUGGUCUGAGAGGAUGACCAGCCACACUGGAACUGAGACAAGGUCCAGACUCCUAAGGUAGGCAGCAGUGGCGAAUAUUGCACAAUGGGCGCAAGCCUGAUGCAGCCAUGCCGCGUGUAUGAAGAAGGCCUUCGGGUUGUAAAGUACUUUCAGCGGGGAGGCGUUACCCGCAGAAGAAGCACCGGCUAACUCCGGGCCAGCAGCCGCGGUAAUAC
RNAcentral lists this ribosomal RNA (406 nucleotides) under uncultured bacterium. Its description in RNAcentral is "partial 16S ribosomal RNA". It matches the Rfam family "Bacterial small subunit ribosomal RNA", at positions 30 to 526 of the family's 1533-position model. The record is from RNAcentral.